Molecule: RNA transcript, 3216 nt
Organism: Papaver somniferum (opium poppy)
Lineage: Eukaryota; Viridiplantae; Streptophyta; Magnoliopsida; Ranunculales; Papaveraceae
Gene name: DNA-(apurinic or apyrimidinic site) lyase, chloroplastic-like
Exons: 15
Source: RefSeq, a predicted model, not a curated record
UCCGUGGAAAAAUACAUAUUACUCACCAAAACACAUUACUCAACAGAAAACAGCGGUAGUGUUAGUUUUGGCGGUCCGAUUAUUGGCGAUGCCACUAAACUGCGCCAGUUCCUGCUUAACGUAUGCCUACUUCUCUCAAUUUGUUUCUUCUUUUUCAGGGUUUCGGUGUGAUUAUCCAGGAUUUGCAGCAACUUCGAGAAACUUGAGUUUUAAAGUGAAAGCUAGGGUGAAAACUGAUCGUCUCAUUUCAUCAUCACUGUCGACAUCACCAAACAUGUCCUCUGAUAAUAAACACAAGAAGCUGAAGCAAUCAACUACAGAUGUUGUUAUGAAAAACGAUGAAGUUUUGGAAAUAAAAAAUGUUAAGGAGAGCGGUUCAAUUGAACUCGAAGGAUUGACGUUUCAUCAACUGAGAACCAUGUCAAGGAAUUAUGGUAUCCCUGCUAAAGGUUCUAAGCACGACCUUCUGCUGGCCUUGAAGGAAUUCAUGGAUAAUGAGAAAGAUGUAGAUUUUGUCGAUACCUUAGAACAUGUGGAUUCUGAGAAGAAACUAAGGGACCCUGAAAAUGCUGCAUCAGGAAGCCAAAACACUACCCCAGAUGAAUCCUCUGGAAACCAACAGAAGAAGAGGAGAAGAAAAACAACCUUAGAGAAUGGCGCUAAUAUUGCUGUUACAGCAGAAACUGUCAUAACAGAGCAAAAGUUAUCUAUCGCAACAAAUGAGGUUCCAGUGCUAGAUACAAAGCCUUCCCGAGCUCAGAAAAAGGGAAGUACCAAAAGUGUGAAACAAGAUGAAGGAUCCACUGCUGUGUCUGGAAAUCAGAGUGAGCCUUGGACAAUGCUUGCGCACAAAAAACCAGAACCAGGAUGGAUACCAUAUAAUCCAAGAACGAUGAGGCCUCCACCGCUUGCAGAUGGUAUAAAAUCUGUUAAAUUAAUCUCUUGGAAUGUUAAUGGCUUAAGAGCUUUGUUAAAAUUGGAGGGCUUCUCCGCGCUGCAACUCGCGAAACGGGAGAACUUUGAUGUGUUGUGCUUGCAAGAAACCAAACUUCAGGAGAAGGAUGUCGAGGAUAUCAAGAGGUGCCUUAUAGAGGGCUACGAUAAUAGCUUCUGGACUUGCAGUGUUUCAAAGCUUGGUUACUCUGGUACAGCUAUCAUUUCCAGGAUAAAGCCAGUGUCAGUCAGAUAUGGACUAGGCAUACAGGAUCAUGACAGUGAAGGACGCCUUGUGACAGUGGAAUUUGAUACAUUUUACUUACUAAACGGAUAUGUCCCAAAUUCUGGGGAUGGUUUGAAAAGACUGUCGUACAGGGUUACACAGUGGGAUUCAUCUCUUGCUAACUACAUGAAGGAAUUGGAAAAGUCAAAGCCUGUAAUUCUGACUGGGGAUCUGAAUUGUGCACAUCAGGAGAUAGACAUUUAUAACCCUGCUGGAAAUCGGAGAAGUGCCGGGUUUACAAUUGAGGAGAGGCAAUCAUUUGAGACAAACUUCUUGUCGAAAGGUUAUGUUGAUACAUUCAGGCGACAACAUCCUGGCGUUGUUGGUUAUACGUACUGGGGUUAUAGGCAUAAUGGGCGGGUGACAAAUAAAGGAUGGCGUCUUGACUAUUUUCUGGCUUCAGAAUCUCUAGCAGACAAAGUACACGACUCUUACAUUCUUCCAGAUGUUCUUGGUAGCGACCACUGCCCAAUUGGUCUCAUUCUCAAGCUGUAGGAUGUGUUUGUUGGAUUAAGGAAAACGUUGAUCAUGAGUCCAAAUUUUGAACGCAGCUGUUUCAUUGAACUUUUUGCUAGUCAGUGGCUGUGAUCUCUAUGAGUCCAAAUUUUGAAAUUUCGCGUGCCUGCCUCCUAAUCGCGAAGAUUUAUAUGAAAUUCUCCUUCGCUGCUCAGUUGGACCCGGGACCUGCUCCAUUUUGCUAUAGUGAGACUUGGGGGAACUCGCUCGCUGUGCUGAUCUUUGACCACUGUAUUUUUCUUGACAUGGAUGUCAAAGAUGGCUUACUCCAGCAAUCCCAUUUUAGUAAAUCCUUCUUCUAGCUGGAUGUACUGCAAGCUGGUUUCAACUUGUAUUGGAGGUUAGAACUUCAGGUAUGUGAUAGUGGACUUGCAUAUCGAGGGAGGAACACAGAAAAUUUCGUUAUUAGCCGCGACAUCUUAUAAGCACCCUAAUCAGUAAAAGAAAAUGACUGCAUAAUGGUUGCCUUCCCUUGGAAAGAUGCUUGGAGAUGGAAAUGUUUUGGUGCUUGUUAUAAGGGGUGCCCAAAUCAGGUUGCUUUGUUUUUUUAUGAGGUCCAAAAUUAUUGCUGACCCCAAACCAGAAAAAUAAGAAAUUUCCCCCAAGUAAAACCAGUUCCCAUUUUAGUGUAGAUAUGGUUUUUCAUUUUUGGGUUUUUAGUUUGUAAGCUCCGAGAAGAGCAUAUCAUCAUCAUCAUCAUCAUCAAUGGCGAGUCUCAUAACAACCUUGAAUAUUUCAUUUCACAAUUCAUCAUCAACUACUCUUUUUCACAAUAACUUCAGAAUUUCAUUCACACCAAAAUCCCUUUCUUUUAAGCCAUUACUUUCUUCUUCUUCUUCUUCAAAUUUAUCUACUCAAAUUACAACACAUAAUCUUCUUCAUCAUCAUCAUAAACAAAAAAAACGAGGGUUUGCAAUAAUUACCCGUGCAGCUCCAACCACUGCCAACCUUAUUUUUGCUUUUGUAUUUCCACUCACUCUUCUCCUUGUCACCAUUUUCACUUCCAUUAAAAUUGCAGACAAGCUUGACCAGGAUUUCCUUGAAGAGCUUGCCAUUAAUCAAGCAAUUAUGGAAGGGAAGGAUGAAAAGGAAGAUAGUCGUGCAUCACUGGAGGAAGAAGAACCUGCCACAGUUACAAGAACUCGUAACCGUCCCAAACGUGAAGCUUAGAAGAUUCGAAUCCGACUGCAGUCGUUUCUCUUACAAUUUUGUGUUGUGCGAAGAUUGGAUAAUCUACCUGCAUUCGCCUUAUAACCAAUCUGUCUUUAGAAAAGCAUAACCUGCUAUGGAAUUCACAUAUGUAGCAGUAUCAAAGAAUGAAGGGAUUGUAGACUGUGCACACAUCACUAGUCUAAUGGUACUAUUCUCAUUUAUUCGGUAGCUGAGUGUUUGAAUAUUUUUCCAACUUCUAUGAUAUAGCAAGCCUUGUUGAGAAAUCGUUAAACUCUAUAUGGAUUCUGGAGGCCGCUAGUGUUCAUGAU